CAAUUGUAAUUUUUUUUGAAAAUUGAAUGUAGUUACUAAUUCAUGAUCUGACAUGUACAGAAUGAAAACUUCAUUCCCGAUUCUACGAGAAUUUUUAUGAAAGUCUUUCAUUUGAUUCUCUUCGAUGGAAGUUUGAUUUUCCCAGAAUGUAUCCUAAUUUUUGGCCUAAUUCUUCUUCUGAUGAUCGAUUCAACCUCUGAUUAAAAAGAUAUACCUUG
RNAcentral lists this long non-coding RNA (218 nucleotides) under Olea europaea subsp. europaea. The record is from RNAcentral. Lineage: Eukaryota; Viridiplantae; Streptophyta; Magnoliopsida; Lamiales; Oleaceae.